GCAGGCUGCAACCCGCCUGCGUGAAGUUGGAAUCGCUAGUAAUCGCGGAUCAGCAUGCCGCGGUGAAUACGUUCCCGGGCCUUGUACACACCGCCCGUCACACCAUGAGAGUCGGGAACACCCGAAGUCCGUAGCCUAACUGCAAAGGGGGCGCGGCCGAAGGUGGGUUCGAUAAUUGGGGUGAAGUCGUAACAAGGUAGC
This 201-nucleotide ribosomal RNA is filed under the name uncultured bacterium. RNAcentral describes it as "partial 16S ribosomal RNA". It matches the Rfam family "Bacterial small subunit ribosomal RNA", at positions 1300 to 1500 of the family's 1533-position model. The record is from RNAcentral.